UACGGAGGGGGCUAGCGUUGUUCGGAAUUACUGGGCGUAAAGCGCGCGUAGGCGGCUUUGCAAGUCAGAGGUGAAAGCCUGGAGCUCAACUCCAGAACUGCCUUUGAAACUGCAUCGCUAGAAUCAUGGAGAGGUUAGUGGAAUUCCGAGUGUAGAGGUGAAAUUCGUAGAUAUUCGGAAGAGCACCAGUGGCGAAGGCGACUAACUGGACAUGUAUUGACGCUGAGGUGCGAAAGCGUGGGGAGCAAACAGG
Molecule: ribosomal RNA, 253 nt
Filed under: uncultured bacterium
Lineage: Bacteria
Description: partial 16S ribosomal RNA
Rfam family: Bacterial small subunit ribosomal RNA
Source: RNAcentral